Molecule: long non-coding RNA, 270 nt
Organism: Pelmatolapia mariae (spotted tilapia)
Lineage: Eukaryota; Metazoa; Chordata; Actinopteri; Cichliformes; Cichlidae
Exons: 4
Source: RefSeq, a predicted model, not a curated record
GUUUGAGCCAGAGAUAUCUCAAGAUCAUAAGGAUCCUUAGAGAACAAGUGGAGAGCCUGAAUGCGACCAAAAAUGAGCUGGGUGUGGAUGACGACACACUGCAGCAAUGGGUGGCCGAUGUGCAGAAAUGGGCUGAAGAAACUGAUCAAACUGAUGGCAGCCUUGGAGCGUUGCAGGCACGAAUAGAGGAGCUUGUCGUCAUCAUCAGAGUGCGAACACAAAGUCUUUACAGACAAAAUGAUAGCAACAAGAGGCGACACAGAAUUCGCA